This 250-nucleotide ribosomal RNA is filed under the name uncultured bacterium. Its description in RNAcentral is "partial 16S ribosomal RNA". It matches the Rfam family "Bacterial small subunit ribosomal RNA", at positions 524 to 773 of the family's 1533-position model. The record is from RNAcentral.
UACAGAGGGUGCAAGCGUUAAUCGGAAUUACUGGGCGUAAAGAGCACGUAGGUGGUUAUAUAAGUCAGAUGUGAAAUCCCCGGGCUUAACCUGGGAACUGCAUUUGAAACUGUAUGACUAGAGUAGGGUAGAGGAAAGGGGAAUUUCAGGUGUAGCGGUGAAAUGCGUAGAUAUCUGAAGGAACACCGGUGGCGAAGGCGCCUUUCUGGAUUCAUACUGACACUGAGGUGCGAAAGCGUGGGGAGCAAAC